RNAcentral lists this ribosomal RNA (253 nucleotides) under uncultured bacterium. Its description in RNAcentral is "partial 16S ribosomal RNA". It matches the Rfam family "Bacterial small subunit ribosomal RNA", at positions 524 to 776 of the family's 1533-position model. The record is from RNAcentral.
UACGUAGGCAGCGAGCGUUGUUCGGAGUUACUGGGCGUAAAGGGUGUGUAGGCGGUUCUCUAAGUUUGGUGUGAAAUCUCCCGGCUCAACCGGGAGGGUGCGCCGAAAACUGGAGGGCUAGAGUGCGGGAAGGGAGAGUAGAAUUCCUGGUGUAGCGGUGAAAUGCGUAGAUAUCAGGAGGAAUACCGGUGGUGUAGACGGCUCUCUGGACCGCGACUGACGCUGAGACACGAAAUCGUGGGUAGCAAACAGG